CUCGUCCCUGGAGCCACAGCUAUGAGAACAGGUCACGUGUAGGAUGUAGGGAAAGGUAUCAACAUCAUCCUUGGCAGAGAGAAGGUCAGAGAUCACCCACCUGUUGUGCCCAUGGAGUGUCUCAGGAGUAGGGAUUGAAAGGUCGAUGGGAUGUGCAAAUAGG
Molecule: long non-coding RNA, 163 nt
Organism: Gorilla gorilla gorilla (western lowland gorilla)
Lineage: Eukaryota; Metazoa; Chordata; Mammalia; Primates; Hominidae
Exons: 3
Source: RefSeq, a predicted model, not a curated record